AUUGAACGCUGGCGGCAUGCCUUACACAUGCAAGUCGAACGGCAGCACGGGAGCAAUCCUGGUGGCGAGUGGCGAACGGGUGAGUAAUAUAUCGGAACGUGCCCGGUCGUGGGGAUAACGUAGCGAAAGCUACGCUAAUACCGCAUACGAUCUACGGAUGAAAGCGGGGGAUCGCAAGACCUCGCGCGAUUGGAGCGGCCGAUAUCAGAUUAGGUAGUUGGUGAGGUAAAGGCUCACCAAGCCGACGAUCUGUAGCUGGUCUGAGAGGACGACCAGCCGCACUGGGACUGAGACACGGCCCAGACUCCUACGGAGGCAGCAGUGGGGAAUUUUGGACAAUGGGCGCAAGCCUGAUCCAGCAAUGCCGCGUGCAGGAUGAA
This 380-nucleotide ribosomal RNA is filed under the name uncultured bacterium. RNAcentral describes it as "bacterial SSU rRNA". It matches the Rfam family "Bacterial small subunit ribosomal RNA", at positions 30 to 412 of the family's 1533-position model. The record is from RNAcentral.